RNAcentral lists this ribosomal RNA (472 nucleotides) under uncultured bacterium. Its description in RNAcentral is "partial 16S ribosomal RNA". It matches the Rfam family "Bacterial small subunit ribosomal RNA", at positions 28 to 507 of the family's 1533-position model. The record is from RNAcentral.
GACGAACGCUGGCGGCGUGCUUAACACAUGCAAGUCGAACGCUGAAGCUUGGUGCUUGCACUGGGUGGAUGAGGGGCGAACGGGUGAGUAAUACGUGAGUAACCACCCCUUGACUCUGGGAUAAGCCUGGGAAACUGGGUCUAAUACUGGAUAUGACAUGCCACCGCAUGGUGGUGUGUGGAAAGGGGUUUAAUGGUUGUGGAUGGGGUCACGGCCCAUCAGCUAGUUGGUGGGGUCAUGGCCUACCAAGGCGAAGACGGGUAGCCGGCCUGAGAAGGUGGCCGGCAACAAGGGAACUGGGCCACGGACCAGUCACCAACGGGGGGCAGCAGUGGGGAAGAAUGCAGAAUGGCGCCAAGCGUGUUGCUGCGGCGGCGGGUGCGGGAUAUCGGCCUACUAGUUGUAAACCUAUUUCGACGCGCAAGAUGACAGGGUGACGGUACGUGAUGAAAAAGCGCCGGCUAACUACGUG